AGAGUACGUGAAACCGUUCAGGGGUAAACCUGAGAAACCCGAAAGGUCGAAAGGGGAGAUUCAGCGUGUCUCGAUUGCGGCGCUGGAUGGUCGUGCGACGGAAGACGUACGCGUCAUCCGCACCUUCCGUCCUCCGAACCGUAGUCGAACGCGUGCACUUCUCCCCCUGUAGGACGUCGCGAUCCGUUGGGUGCCGGUCUAAGGCCCGCAGUGGAGCCCGUUCGGACGGUUUACCGUUCCGGACGAACCUGCGGUGUUUCCCGGUCGGCUCGCUCGACGGUAUACAGAUGGCGCGGGGCCGCUACACAUUAGUUAGCGUCCGACCGGCGGCAAGCGCGCUCGUCGUGACGGUGAUCGGACCUGGUGCCGGUCCUGUCCCCGAGUGGCUGUUCGCUGCCGUGUUCUCGGACAGACCUCGUCGAAACGCCGAUCUGCGACGCUAUAGCUUUGGGUACUUUCAGGACCCGUCUUG
RNAcentral lists this ribosomal RNA (472 nucleotides) under Stenomorpha macra. Its description in RNAcentral is "eukaryotic LSU rRNA". Lineage: Eukaryota; Metazoa; Arthropoda; Insecta; Coleoptera; Tenebrionidae. The record is from RNAcentral. RNAcentral also lists the same sequence under 3 other names.